Molecule: microRNA precursor, 79 nt
Organism: Naja naja (Indian cobra)
Lineage: Eukaryota; Metazoa; Chordata; Lepidosauria; Squamata; Elapidae
Gene: MIR30C2
Product: microRNA 30c-2
Source: Ensembl
UGAUAGAGAGUGUAAACAUCCUACACUCUCAGCUGUGUGGAAAAGAUGAAAGCUGGGAGAAGGCUGUUUACUCUCUUUG